Long non-coding RNA from Carcharodon carcharias (great white shark), 2371 nucleotides. RefSeq lists it as uncharacterized. The transcript is spliced from 3 exons. The record is from RefSeq and is a predicted model, not a curated record. Lineage: Eukaryota; Metazoa; Chordata; Chondrichthyes; Lamniformes; Lamnidae.
GAAGGCGGAAGGAACUGCUCAACUUACAGUAAUCAGGGACCGGUGAGACAGAGAGGAGGAGUUGGGGGAAAGGAACCACCAGAGAAUAGUACUGUCCUCUGGAUAGUAUAAGGGUCCAGGCAUCCCUCCUGAACAAUGUACCUCUCCACUGAAGAGUAUACGAAGAGGCCUAGACUGAUGAUGUUUGAGGAUUUGAAUUUGGAAAUAAAUAGCUGGAAUCAGUCAGUGACUAUGAAGGUGUCAAAUUGGACGUGGCUGCGAGGAACAAGAGGAGAAAAACCGCAGGAGAAAUUUUUUUUAAAAAUCGUGUUUGUCAAAAUUUGUAUUUGUUAUUUGCAAAAGUGUUGGCGAUGGGGGAAAUAAAGGCUGUUUGACUGGGUGGGACAUCGGGUGAUGAAAUCUCCAGGAAUGUGUCCAACCAUUUUUGGUCACCCAAUGUUCAGAGUCACCAGCCACUUAGUGUUUGCAGUCAAACAAAUUUUUCUGGUACGCAGGCCUCCUGGCUUUCUUGGAUCUUGGCAGUGAUUUUAUUGGUGGGGGGGGGUCUUGCUCCUCCCUAUCACUACAAUCUCCUCCACCUGACAACCCUCUGAGAUAUCUGCACUUUUGUAAUUCUGGCCUCUGGUGCAUUGCAGAUUUUAAUAGCUCCAUCAUUGGUGACCGUGCCUUGAGCUACCUAGGCCCUAAGCACUGAAAUUCUCUCCCUACACCUCUCUGCCUCUCUACCUCACUUUCCUCCUCUAAAACACUCUUUAAAACUUACCUCUUUGACCAAGCUUUUGUUCAUCUGACCUAAUAUCUCCUUACGUGGCUCAGUGUCAUACUUAGUUUUAUCAUGUUCCUGUGAAGCACCUUGGGACAUUUUAUAAGAACAUGUAGCCAGAGCCAGGCAACCAGUAGGAUGCAUCAAGAUCCGCAUCAAAGAGGUGUGCAAGCAUGACAUGAAGAUCCUAAACAUCGAUUCCUACACCUGGGAGACAUUAGCCAGCGACAGAGGAAAAUGGUGGCAUCAUCUGUCGGCUGGCGUGUGCCCCAAUGACAAUCAGUGGUGAUAGAGGCUUGGCAACAGGUAGCAACACCAAAAACAAGAACCCACAAUGACACUUGAUACCUACCCCAUAUGCGGCACUUGUGACAAGGCUACCUCUCACAGAUUAGUCUCUUCAGCCGUCAGCGAGAGUGCACCGUGUGAACCUACCCCAUUCCCAACAACUUGCUGCAUGUCCAUUCAUUACCUUUCGUAAAUGGAAGAAUGCUGAUGGACGAACAUAAGAAAUAGAAGCAGGAUUAGCCCGCUCCACCAUUCAAAACAACCAUGGCUGAUCUUUGGCUUAAAUUCCACUUUCUCGCCCGCUCCCCGUUUCUCUUGAUUCUCUGAGAGGCCAAAUAUCUGUCUAUCCCAGCCUUAAAUAUAUUCAAGCAUCCACAACCUUCUGGGGGGUAAAGAAUUCCAAAGAUUCACAACUCUUUGAAGAAAUUCCUCCUCAUCUCAAUCCUUAAUUAUUGAUCCCUUAUCCUCUGAGGUACCUCCACUCCUCCAAUUCUGACCUCUUGAACAACUCCCAUUCUCAUUGCUCUACCAUUGGCAACCAUGUCUUCAGCUGUCUAGGCCCUAAUCUCAGGAAUUUCCUCCCUAAACCCCUCUGCUCUCUCAACAUCUCUCUCCUCCUUUAAGCCGGUCCUUAAAAACCUAGUUCAUUGGCAGAACUUGUGAUCAAACUUUUGUCCUAAUAUCUGCUUGUGCGGUACAGUGUCAAAUGUAUCUGGUUACACUCUUGUGAAGCAUUUUGCAGUGUUUGGAUAGAUUAAGGGUACUCAAGUUUUUAACUGCAAAGCAUUGGCCUUAAUGGGGAGUGAAACACGAGCGAAUAUAGAAACUGGUGAAUCUAUUGUUGCUUCAGAGGCAUUAAAAUUAUAGAUCCUGCCCUGGGGAGAAAUGGCAGUGGAUUUCCCUAAUUUCCUAAUAUAAUGUUUACUGUGGGCUUGUGGUCCAGUUUGAGUGCUGCAGUGACAAUAUCUGGAAUGUAUGUCCUUCACUUGCUUGUCUGCUAUUUACAGAGUGAAAAGCUUAUCCUUUCUUAAGUGAAUGUAAACAGACUGGGCACUGAAUGUGCACAAACGCUUCUGAUAACACCAGUCUGCAUCCUUGCACUUUUGUUGCACUAAUUAAGUGAUUCGUCCACAGGCAAACACAAAUUUUGACACCAUUAAGGAAAGGAUUAUGGUUCUAAAUUGAAUCGCAGAUCCAUUGUUGUAAAUGAAAUGCUAUCGCAAUGGUCAAGUGUUUUUGAGAAAAUGGUUGUGUAAGUCUCACAGUAUUUCAGGUGAUGAUUUUAACAAAUGCAAUAAAAACAGACCAAAUAAGUCUGAA